RNAcentral lists this long non-coding RNA (878 nucleotides) under Anser cygnoides (Swan goose). RNAcentral's name for it is "lncRNA (ENSACDG00005001561.1)". The record is from RNAcentral. Lineage: Eukaryota; Metazoa; Chordata; Aves; Anseriformes; Anatidae.
AAUAAUAAUAAUAAAAACUCAUGAAACUAAUAUUCGGUUGAAAUCUAAAAUUAUUUUCUAUUAUUGUAAUCAGAAAGGAAAAGAUUUAGAGACUACCCUUCGGCAUUAUAUUUACACAGAACUAAGGAUGUGAAUUUAGCAUCGUUUAUGGAAACUAAGGUUAAAGAUGAUGAUGUCUAAAAGUUGAAGUUGUAAGGUUCCUUCUACGAUAAUUUUGCUUAAGUCUAUAGGGAAGAAUACAAAAUUUAAACUACCCUCUCUUCCCCAGGUCCGAGAAACUUGUUCCAGUGGAGCACUGGUCAAUAUUUUCCCACUGACAAGCAACCUCUAUAAAGAAAAGAAAAGAUCACGAGUAAAAGCAAAACGCUGUUAUAGAACAACUUGGCAAAACUGAAUCGUCUACCAAAGGUAAAUGGAUAAAUAUUCACAUAAAUCACAGCUGCAUUUAGGCAAAGAUGCUGCACUUUUCACAAUGCUGAACACUGGGAAGAAAGGUUCAAAGAGACUGAGGUCAGCAUAGCAGGUUCAUAGAUAUUAAACAAACAAACUGACUGAGUGAUCCAUUUUAAGAUUGUUUCAAGGUAAGGCAAAAGUCUUUUUCAAACUCCUUUCACUUUUGCAGUCAUAUAUAAUUCUACAAAAUGAAGAUAAGCUAUCUUCCCAUACUUUUCCUCUAAUCAAUCUGUGUUGUUAAUAGCUCACCAGUGAGAUGAUAUGUCUGCGUCAUCAAGCCUUUUGAUGGACAGCAUUUUAUCAGUAAGUUGCAGAAGCUUUAUAGUAACAAAUUCCAAACUUUCUCUUUCAUAGGACAAAAUAUAUAUUUAUACAGUUACUGUCAGAGCUAUGCAUCAAAAAUUUAAAGCGGUAUAUACAUUUCC